Molecule: long non-coding RNA, 574 nt
Organism: Lolium rigidum
Lineage: Eukaryota; Viridiplantae; Streptophyta; Magnoliopsida; Poales; Poaceae
Exons: 2
Source: RefSeq, a predicted model, not a curated record
UAUGGGAUCAAAUACGAUCCCAUUUACAUGUGGACAGAUGCUUGUGAGAUGCCACUCAACAUCUGAAUAUCCAUUUCAUAGAUCCAACACAAAGUAAAUUUUGGGCUAUUUAUGUUAGCUUGUUUGUACAUGCACAUGGGUCAUGAUACAUUUGUCCAAAUCAAGGCGAUUUCUCACACUCACACUCCAACUAUGGAUGGUGAGACACUUGAUGGUGAUGCUCUGUCUACUUUCUAGAUUCAUGGGAGCAGCAGAUACAUUUCCUUCCAUAUGAGUGUUGCCGACACUUUCCUCUCUGCAAUAAACAAAGAUACAGAGGGUAAAAAUACAGCACAUAAGCUGGCUAGAUUUGGACUCUGGAGGAAGACUAAAUGCAAUAGGUUAGCAGUUGGCUUAAGAUCUGCAUCUCUCUCACCCAACAAUUACCAGGCAGCUUCCAUAUGCAGUUCAACUACGGAUCUGGAGUUCAAGUCUAGGAGAGAAAAAUACCUAAUCAAUUCCCAGCUAGUAUACAUUACUUUUGUGAUUUCUGUUAGUGGACAGUCAAGAGGCAAUACAAGUAACAUGUUCUUAA